Molecule: long non-coding RNA, 2111 nt
Organism: Gasterosteus aculeatus aculeatus (three-spined stickleback)
Lineage: Eukaryota; Metazoa; Chordata; Actinopteri; Perciformes; Gasterosteidae
Source: Ensembl
UUUAUUCAAGUAUAAUUAUCGGCUACCGUUGAGUUGAGGAAUCAGUUUGAUGCAAAAAGUAAAAAGUCUCCAGUUGUCUUAAAUAUGAAUAUUAUCAGAUUGUUGUGAGCAAACCAGAGAUUUGAGGACUUGUUUUAUUUUCAUAAACUAAACAGCUAAUGGAAAAAGUAAUCCACAGGUUUACAGACCAUGAAUCACUAGCUAGUAUGAUCUUUACUCGAGAUACUCGAGCAUCUGGCCUCCUCCAGGUAGGACUUUCAGAAUGAAUGUUUGAGGAGGUCUGGAGGGAUUUAAUGAGUCUCGUGCUUCUCUGCUGCAGUGUGGAGAGCGAUUACAGAAGCACGUGAGACUAUUAAGAGUUCCCACCAACACCAGGUUCUCUUCCUCAAAGUGUACCGACUCACACCUCAGAUCUCCACGAGGCUUCAUGUGUAUGAAUCCAAACCCGAUCUGAAAGCUUCUUCUGGUUCUUCUUCUUCAUCGCUGUGGAUCCUCCGGCUUCAGAGGACUCGCCUCAUGAAGGCUGAAAAGCUUCUGGUCCACUUCUGCAGACAAAAGGGAUUCAAGAGACUCACACGACUCUGUACUGACAACGACUCACCUGACCACCGACACUAACGACUCACCUGACCACCGACACGAACGAGUCACGUGACUACUGACACUAACGAGUCACAUGACUACCGACACUAACGAGUCAGGUGACUACCGACACUAACGAGUCACCUGACUACUGACACUAACGACUCACCUGACUACCGACACGAACGAGUCAGGUGACUACCGACACUAACGACUCACGUGACCACCGACACUAACGAGUCACAUGACUACCGACACUAACGAGUCAGGUGACUACCGACACUAACGAGUCACCUGACUACUGACACUAACGACUCACCUGACUACCGACACGAACGAGUCAGGUGACUACCGACACUAACGACUCACGUGACCACCGACACUAACGAGUCACAUGACUACCGACACGAACGAGUCAGGUGACUACCGACACUAACGACUCACGUGACCACCGACACUAACGAGUCACAUGACUACCGACACGAACGAGUCAGGUGACUACCGACACUAACGACUCACGUGACCACCGACACUAACGAGUCACAUGACUACCGACACUAACGAGUCAGGUGACUACCGACACUAACGAGUCACAUGACUACCGACACUAACGAGUCACGUGACUACCGACACGAACGAGUCAGGUGACUACCGACACUAACGACUCACGUGACCACCGACACUAACGAGUCACAUGACUACCGACACUAACGAGUCAGGUGACUACCGACACUAACGAGUCACGUGACUACAGACACUAACGAGUCAGGUGACCACCGACACUAACGACUCACGUGACCACUGACACUAACGAGUCACAUGACUACCGACACUAACGAGUCAGGUGACUACCGACACUAACGAGUCACGUGACUACAGACACUAACGAGUCAGGUGACUACAGACACUAACGAGUCACGUGACCACCGACACUAACGAGUCAGGUGACUGAUAAGUCAAACUAAUAACAAUAUCUCAAUUUAUUUUAUCUUUUUUUAUUACAAUUUUGUAUCAAAGGUGCACAUUAAUAAAUCACAUAAGUCUUUAUAACUUUAACUCACAGUAAAAGACGUCUCAUGUCAGUAAUGGUUCUUUUAAUUCUGUGAAUCACUAAUUAGCAGAAGGUGGUUUAAUACAAGACGAGCAGCAGAGAUCCAGUAGAAUAGAAAGAUUCAUAGCAGACGCCUCCUUAAUUCCCCUUUAUGCUAAUUAAUAAUAAUCAAAGCUGCUUAUGUAACGGUGCACAACAGAAGGAGUCCUCCGUUCCGUCUCUCCAUCUUCCUGUGAUUUGACUUGAAAAUCUGUGUUUUGAGCUUUGACAGCAGCUCAGAUCGUGGUGAUAAAAAGCCGGUUGGUUACGUAACGCUGCUGCCCACAUAACCCCAGAUUACUGCUCUACAGGAGGAUGUGAUCAUCUCCACCACACCGACGAGUCACGUGACCAACUAGUGACUCGGGAGGACGGGGAGGACUGAGAGGACUGGGAGGACAGGGAGGACUGAGAGGACAGGGAGGACAGGCAGGACGGG